This is a long non-coding RNA of Varanus komodoensis (Komodo dragon), 1170 nucleotides long. RefSeq lists it as uncharacterized. NCBI's taxonomy places the organism in Eukaryota, Metazoa, Chordata, Lepidosauria, Squamata, Varanidae. The record is from RefSeq and is a predicted model, not a curated record. The transcript has 3 exons.
GGAGGGCGGGGUCUGAGGCGCAGGGCAAACGGAGGUGGUCGUCAUGGGUUGGCACUCCCCCAUUACCUCUUCCCCGUGCUGCGAAGCUCGAAACGGUCCUGCUGGCAGAGCCGAGGGCUGAAGCGUAGGGAGGGUGGGGUCGAGCGCUACAGUGGGGCUUGGGAUGUGUUUGACGGCGAGACCCCUCCCCAGGUCCGCGCUGAGGGUUUGGAGGUGAAUGCGGAGCAGGAGGGAAGGCGGCCGUUGAACUGUGGUGAUUGAGGGAAGGCUGUUGAAGAACCUCGACCCGAGCCAUUCUAUUCUCUCUCUCCCAAAGAGAGCAAGCUGUUGAAGCGAGGGGAACGGUGACCCAUUCCUUUAUAAUGCCGCAACAAUAUGUAGGGUUCGGAAAACUAAGUAUUUCUGGCUCUUCACGUGCUGUUUUUUUACGUUGCUUUACAACACGCUGAAAUUUUCCUAAAAUAGUGUGUGUGGAGGGUUUCUUAUUUUUCGCCUUUCGUCAGCAAAUUGUUGCACUUGUUCCGUGGGUCGGUUUUGUUUCCCGAGUGCAGUUGAAACAGAUAGUUUCAUUUUGUUAAAGUGUCCUGUCCAAACAGUCGUAAAGGGAAAACAGAACAAGGCUUAGCGUCCUUGCCUUGCCAUUGCUGAGUUAAGGAAGCUCAGGAUGUGUUCAACUUUUGAAGUCGAUUCACUCAAACAUCGGGAAACUGCUACACACAAACAGAAGGGUCCCAAUCCCGUCUCCUUGAAUAGAGAAUGGCGCAAGGUUGCAUCGUAUUUAUUCUCGUGAUUGCCAUUUUGGAAGAAAAGCAAAACAUAUAAAUUUAUAUCUAAACGUUUGUUAAAGUUAUAGUAAACGAAAGUUCAGUUGAGCACCACUCCUCAUGUUACUACUGCUUUUGAUCUGGAUUAAGUAACAUCCCUUUGCAGGUUUAGUAGGGAUUUUAAUAGAUUUGGACUCUGCCAGUAUUUCCUGCAGUGUUUCUAAAGAAAAGUGCAUAUUAAGUAAAUCAUGCUGUGGGAUGAUGCAGAUGGCAUAUAGUAGUCAUGACUGAUGUUGAUGAAACAACAGGAGGGAUCAGGGGCAUGUGGGAUGUACUAUUCUUCAAGGAAGGGACACCAGGGAAAACCAGGACAAUUUAAUUGCUGAGGCCAGUGGGGCAAUCUGCU